RNAcentral lists this ribosomal RNA (700 nucleotides) under Pseudomonas azotoformans. RNAcentral's name for it is "bacterial SSU rRNA". It matches the Rfam family "Bacterial small subunit ribosomal RNA", at positions 126 to 821 of the family's 1533-position model. The record is from RNAcentral. Lineage: Bacteria; Pseudomonadati; Pseudomonadota; Gammaproteobacteria; Pseudomonadales; Pseudomonadaceae.
CUGCCUGGUAGUGGGGGAUAACGUUCGGAAACGGACGCUAAUACCGCAUACGUCCUACAGGAGAAAGCAGGGGACCUUCAGGCCUUGCGCUUUCACAUGAGCCUAAGUCGGAUUAGCUUUUUGGUGAGGUAAUGGCUCACCAAGGCGACGAUCCCUAUCUGGUCUGAGAGGAUGAUCAUUCUCACUGGAACUGAAACACGGUCCAGACUCCUACUGGAGGCAGCAGUGGGGAAUAUUGGACAAUGGGCGAAAGCCUGAUCCAGCCAUGCCCCGUGUGUGAGGAAGGUCUUCGGAUUGUAAAGCACUUUACCUUGGGAGGAAGGGUUGUAGAUUAAUACUCUGCAAUUUUGACGUUACCGACACAAUAAGCACCGGCUAACUCUGUGUCAGCAGCCGCAGUAAUACAGAUGGUGCAAGCGUUAAUCGUAAUUACUGGUCGUAAAGCUCGCGUAUGUGGUUUGUUAAGUUGGAUGUGAAAUCCCCGGGCUCGACCUGGGAACUGCAUUCGCAACUGACUGACUAGAGUAUGGUAGAGGGUGAUGGAAUUUCAUGUGUAGCUGUGAAAUGCAUAUAUAUAGAAAGGAACACCAAUGGCGAAGGCGACCGCCUGGACUAAUACUGACACUGAGGUGCGAAAGCGUGAGGAGCAAACACGAUUAGAUUCCCUGGUAGUGCACGCCGUANACGAUGUCGACUAGCA